CCGAGUGAGGGCCCUCUGGGUCCAACCUCCCACCCGUGUUUAACGAACCCUGUUGCUUCGGCGGGCCCGCCUCACGGCCGCCGGGGGGCUCUCUGCCCCCGGGCCCGCGCCCGCCGAAGACCCCUGUGAACGCUGUCUGAAGUUGCAGUCUGAGAAACUAGCUAAAUUAGUUA
Molecule: unclassified non-coding RNA, 173 nt
Filed under: uncultured Penicillium
Lineage: Eukaryota; Fungi; Ascomycota; Eurotiomycetes; Eurotiales; Aspergillaceae
Description: sequence contains ITS1
Source: RNAcentral